This 660-nucleotide ribosomal RNA is filed under the name Citrobacter freundii. RNAcentral describes it as "bacterial SSU rRNA". It matches the Rfam family "Bacterial small subunit ribosomal RNA", at positions 825 to 1485 of the family's 1533-position model. The record is from RNAcentral. Lineage: Bacteria; Pseudomonadati; Pseudomonadota; Gammaproteobacteria; Enterobacterales; Enterobacteriaceae.
UGUGCCCUUGAGGCGUGGCUUCCGGAGCUAACGCGUUAAGUCGACCGCCUGGGGAGUACGGCCGCAAGGUUAAAACUCAAAUGAAUUGACGGGGGCCCGCACAAGCGGUGGAGCAUGUGGUUUAAUUCGAUGCAACGCGAAGAACCUUACCUACUCUUGACAUCCAGAGAACUUAGCAGAGAUGCUUUGGUGCCUUCGGGAACUCUGAGACAGGUGCUGCAUGGCUGUCGUCAGCUCGUGUUGUGAAAUGUUGGGUUAAGUCCCGCAACGAGCGCAACCCUUAUCCUUUGUUGCCAGCGGUUCGGCCGGGAACUCAAAGGAGACUGCCAGUGAUAAACUGGAGGAAGGUGGGGAUGACGUCAAGUCAUCAUGGCCCUUACGAGUAGGGCUACACACGUGCUACAAUGGCAUAUACAAAGAGAAGCGACCUCGCGAGAGCAAGCGGACCUCAUAAAGUAUGUCGUAGUCCGGAUUGGAGUCUGCAACUCGACUCCAUGAAGUCGGAAUCGCUAGUAAUCGUGGAUCAGAAUGCCACGGUGAAUACGUUCCCGGGCCUUGUACACACCGCCCGUCACACCAUGGGAGUGGGUUGCAAAAGAAGUAGGUAGCUUAACCUUCGGGAGGGCGCUUACCACUUUGUGAUUCAUGACUGGGGUGAAG